CCUGCCCUGCACGCGGUGCAGAGGCACGCAAUGCCUUCUGUUUUUAUACAGCAAAUAUGAGAAAAGUAUCUUUUAUUUCUCCAAGCUGAUGAUUUACAGAAUUUCACAGCAGUUUUGCAUUAGAGGACUGGACGCAUCUGUGCCACCUUCUCUUUCUCAGCACUGCUGGUCUUUUCUGCUCCUGUUCACCUGCUGUUAAGCUCACACGUCCUGAAUCCCUCGCAUGAAGGUGGAAGAAGGGACCUGAGCAGAAGAGUCCUACUUUCUCAGUUUUGCCAAAGAGAUCUCAGAUUAGAGCACUGGCAUUGCACGUGGUUUGGAAUGUUUCUUGAGCAUGAAAGGCCUGUGCACAGAAGCCCUAAGGAGUGGGCUAGGCAGAGCUCUUCUCCCAACUGGCUGAGACACAGCUGUUUGGUGUUAGGACAAACCCCUAGGAGAGAUGAAAGGUUCUAGGAGACUGCAAGCCCCCUGGCUGAUCUACAGCUCACACAUGUUGUUAAUUAAAGCAUCACUGAUUUCAUGCACCUGGCUGAGCUCUUUAGUGGAAGGCAGAAACUGGGAAGUUACUCUGUUUGUGUGGUGUUGUACUCCAGAACAAAAGCAGCAAAAUGGAGAUGAUUUGUACACAUUCCAGUUUACUGAUUUCAGUGAGCGCAGCACCAGGUAUAUGCAGCUUUGUUAACUUCAGUGGACAUUUGCAGUUAACAACCAUUCCCUUGGAAGAUGCUGCACAUCGAUGACUUCGCGAUGCACCAGUCAGCUGUUCGGCUGGAUACCCCGCCUGGACUCUUCAGGAAUUUUUGGAGGGUUUUUUUUAUUUCUGAAUCACAUCAAAAGAUUUCCUGCGAACCACAACACAGUGGGGAUCUUGUGAAUUUCAAGCCCUGCGAGUUUAAAUGCUUCCAGGAGUUGAUGUCACUAACCAGUGGUUUUAGGCUUGACCGUCUAAAUUCUCACUUAUGCCACAGACAGUUUGAAUGGCUGCCAUUUAGAAUGCGAUCACCAGCAGCGAGGAGGGUGCAACGUCUGGGGUUUCACCAUGCUGUGAAUAGUUUCUUGUGGUUUGAAAGAUGUUACGUGCUUCUUUUCAAGAAAACUUCACUCUCAACUUGAAGAUGCUUCGAAAAGACAGGAUCAUUUGCCUGACAGGUUUUAGCCACGGUAACAGGUAGAUGCUUUUAUCUGGAUCACAGACCUACUGCAAAUUUAUUUUGUAAUUGGAGAGGUGCAGUCUGUUUCACAAUUUCUAUUUGGAAGUUCAAGAUGGUGGAAGAUGCUUAUGGCAGAGGGAAAAUGGUAAAGAUGGCAGAUGAAUCCUCAGCAGUCUGAGUGCUAUACUUGAGUCAUUCUUGGACCUCACUAUCCCCUCUUACGAAAACAUCUGAUUUGGGAUAUCAAAAAGCUCUACAGCCAGAUGAGUCACACUCAUUGCCAUCCAGAACGGCACUCUCCGAGGCCUGUGAAACAAUAAGCCACAGGUCUCCGUUUAGGGACUAUGACAGGAAUACACAGUGUGAGGAGGUGGAAGAAAUUGCUGUCUUACUUUUCCCGAAGAUAAAUUAUUCAGUUGACUGCCCUGGAAUUACAUCAAUACGUGCAACACUACAUACUGCUUAAGUGUGCUUGCAUCACCCAAUUGUUCUGCAAGACUUAAGCACAGAAAAACUGGAAGACUUAAGGAAAAUGCUCGAGCGUGGGGAUGCGUUAUGAAACUUUGGACGUGGAAGGGGACAGAAGAUUUGCCAGUCUCUCAAGAAACAGAAACUUUCAAGUUCCGAAUUUCUGGGAUUGCCGUACGGGAGCUAAAAUGACCAAUCCUGCAAAGAGAGAAAACCCCCAGCUUUCCACUGAGGCUUACAGGGAUACUGACCGUUUUGACGAGGACAAGUAGUGCUCCCAUUAUGCAGUGGACACACUGGCCGAGACGCAUUCUUGGAUUGAGCUUAACUAGCAUCAACAACUGCAGAGCUGUUACAAGAAGUCCAGAGAAUAAAGGAUGAAGAGGAUAUGAAUGACCACCCACAAGCCCAAGUUCUGAGCCGUGUCAAUGAGAAAAAGAAGGAAGUCAAAAGGUCAGACUGUCUACAUUUGAAUGGACUAGUGCUAUUUGAAAUAUAUUUAAGACUUGUACAAUUUUUAAAAUAACAUAAGCAUUGGUAUUGCUAAAUAUUCCAGGCCCCGUACUAAAGAAAGAACAUCCCUAAAUUCUAGGAACUAUCUGGAAAUAGUAGCAGUUUUCACGUUUGAUCGCAGUACAAAAAUGGCAAGCAGAGAGGUUUGAAAUCAGUGUAUUAAAUAUAGCUCAUCAAAAAUAGUACUUCAAUCUUCUCUAAAGUACUAAAAUGUCAAAGUUAAGGCUGAGUUUGCCAGCUUCAUGGAUGUAUCUGCAUAGCCAUUAUAAGCUGUUUUUCAGGCUUGGUCACACGGAACCAAUUAGUGGCAUCUGCCUUCACAAUGAGUAGCACUGUACUCCAGAAGGGUCCCACUGAGUAAGUUGCUACUCAUAUUGAGCUGAGUACAUCAGGAUCUAACAAUUAGUAGAAUAUAAAUAAUACAUUGAUUCCCCCAUCGUGGCAGCUUACCAAGGAAAAUGCCUCAAAAGCCAUGAAAUAUGAUUCUUAUUCAAGAAUCUUAGCUAUUGCAGAAAAUAACCUCUCACUUCAUCUAAACAGCAGGAGU
Long non-coding RNA from Numida meleagris (helmeted guineafowl), 2679 nucleotides. RefSeq lists it as uncharacterized. The transcript has 16 exons. The record is from RefSeq and is a predicted model, not a curated record. Lineage: Eukaryota; Metazoa; Chordata; Aves; Galliformes; Numididae.